This 365-nucleotide long non-coding RNA is filed under the name Phascolarctos cinereus (koala). RNAcentral describes it as "lncRNA (ENSPCIG00000021358.2)". The record is from RNAcentral. Lineage: Eukaryota; Metazoa; Chordata; Mammalia; Diprotodontia; Phascolarctidae.
GCUUCUGCCAGCUCUGGCCCCCUAGUCAAUGCUCAGGUCAUGGAAAUAUUUCAUGGAGACAUGAUGGCAUGCACAUCCUUUAUGAGCUCUGGUGACUUGGGUUGCACCUUGAAAUUGCAAGAGUGAAGGACCAAAGAGAGCCAGCUGGAAGGAGAUUUGACGGAAGUUGCUUCAUGUUGACAUGAGAAUGAAGGUGAAAUUGGUUGUGGUGGGUGAGAGUGAUUCCAUUGGGAUUCUCAUCUCCGACAGCCAUUUCUGGCUUCUCUGCCUUUUCCUCCCUGGUGUUGGGGACUGACUUGAAGACAGCUUUCAACACAUUUAAUGUUGUCCUGAUUUAAAACUGAGAACACAUUUUUGCAGCUCUG